GUUGAAUAUGUCUCAAAAAAUAUAAAUUGACGGAUAAAAGUGUAAAAUACGCACUAUACACAAAAAGGACUCAAAAUAUGCAUUUAUAUGCAAAACAAAAUUUCAAAACUAACUUUUUUAAAGCAUGAAACGUCUCUGUUUUGUACUCUGCUAUUUUUGUGACUGUGCAAAACAAAUAUGCAAAUGCUACAAGUCCUCUGUCCUACACGUGAUCCUUAAACUAUUCCGUAAUCACAGGAAAAAUAUAGAUAAGUGCUUAAGUCUA
This is a non-coding RNA of Cinara cedri, 265 nucleotides long. The record is from the annotation of a GenBank genome assembly. NCBI's taxonomy places the organism in Eukaryota, Metazoa, Arthropoda, Insecta, Hemiptera, Aphididae.